AAUUUUAUAUAAAAUUUUAUUUUAAUUUAUUUAUUUAAUUAAUUAUUUUAAUAAAAAUAUUUAAAAAAUUUUUUGUUUAAUUAAUAUAAAAAGAAUAAAUUUUAUUAAAUAUAAUGAUAUUGUAUUGUAAAAGAAUAUUUAAUUAAUAAAAAAUAUAAAUUAAUUUUUAUACCUUUUGUAUCAGGGUUUAUUAAAAUUUAAUUAUUAAUUUUAAUUAUCUCGAAAAUAAAAGAUUUAUUUAAAUAAUUAUUUUUAUGUAAUAUUAUAAUUUAAAAUAUUUAAAUAGAAAUGAAAAGUUAUUCGUUUUUAUAGAUAUCUAGUUAUUUAAAAGAUGAAUUUAAUUCAGAUAAAUUUUAUUUAUUAUAUAUUUAUAUAAAAUUAUAAUAAAAUAAAUUUAUUAAUAAGUUAUGGGAUAAUCUAUAAUUUUUAUAUAAUUUAUAUUGAUUAUUUUUAUAAAUGGAUAUAAAAUUAAUUUAUUUUAGUAAAAAUUUAAUAAUUUAUAAUAAUUAAUUAAUAUUUUUAAAUUAAAUAUAUUUUAAAUAUUAAAUAUAAUUAAUUAAUUUAAUAUUAAUUUAUAUAAUGAUAAAAUUAGUAUAAUUUAAUGUAAAUAUAAUAAUUAUUUAUAAUUAUAAUUAUUUUAGGAAUUAGGCAAAUAAUAUAUUCACCUGUUUAUCAAAAACAUGUCUUUUUGUUUAAUAAUUUAAAGUCUAUUCUGCCCAUUGAUAAAAUUAAAAGGCUGCAGUAUUUUGACUGUACAAAGGUAGCAUAAUCAAUAGUUUUUUAAUUGAAAACUAGAAUGAAUGAGUUAAUGAAAUAUAAUCUGUCUUAAUUAAUAUUAUUGAAUUUUGAAUUUAAGUUAAAAUUCUUAAAUAUAAUUAAGGGACGAGAAGACCCUAUAGAAUUUAAUUAAUUUAUUAUAUAUUUAUAAUUAAUAUUUUUAAUUAUAUUAUAAUUAAUUUAAUUGGGAGGAUUUUUAAAUUUAAUUAACUUUAAUAUUUAAUAUUCAAUAAUUAUUGUAUUAAUAAAGAAUAUUUAUUAAAUAAUAUUAGAUUAAAUUACCUUAGGGAUAACAGCGUAAUAUUUUUGGAAAGAUCAAAUUUAUAAAAAUGAUUGCGACCUCGAUGUUGAAUUAAGAUAAAUUUUAAGUGCAGUAAUUUAAUAAUUAAGUCUGUUCGACUUUUAAAAUCUUACAUGAUUUGAGUUCAGAUCGGUGUGAGCCAGAUCGGUUUCUAUCUUUAAUAAAAUUAAAUAUUUUUGUACGAAAGGACUAAAUAUUUUAAAUAAUUUAAAUUAUUUUAUAAUUACUUUG
RNAcentral lists this ribosomal RNA (1309 nucleotides) under Hylaeus dilatatus. RNAcentral describes it as "16S ribosomal RNA". Lineage: Eukaryota; Metazoa; Arthropoda; Insecta; Hymenoptera; Colletidae. The record is from RNAcentral.